UCCGAUAUGGUGUAGUGGCCAACAUGAUGCCCUCUCAUCUUGUGGGAGGUUAGGCAUAGCCCCGAGUUCGAUUCUCGGUUUCGGAA
Molecule: transfer RNA, 86 nt
Filed under: Colletotrichum acutatum
Lineage: Eukaryota; Fungi; Ascomycota; Sordariomycetes; Glomerellales; Glomerellaceae
Description: tRNA-Glu
Rfam family: tRNA
About the family: Transfer RNA (tRNA) molecules are approximately 80 nucleotides in length. Their secondary structure includes four short double-helical elements and three loops (D, anti-codon, and T loops).
Source: RNAcentral